GGAGAAUUGGCAGAGUGGUCGAUUGCGGUAGUCUUGAAAACUAUUGUACCGUGAGGUACCGGGGGUUCGAAUCCCUCAUUCUCCG
This 85-nucleotide transfer RNA is filed under the name bacterium SCSIO 12643. RNAcentral describes it as "tRNA-Ser". It matches the Rfam family "tRNA". Rfam says of the family: Transfer RNA (tRNA) molecules are approximately 80 nucleotides in length. Their secondary structure includes four short double-helical elements and three loops (D, anti-codon, and T loops). The record is from RNAcentral.